This 20-nucleotide non-coding RNA is filed under the name Arabidopsis thaliana (thale cress). Lineage: Eukaryota; Viridiplantae; Streptophyta; Magnoliopsida; Brassicales; Brassicaceae. The record is from RNAcentral.
UGAUGGAUGUCACCACUGUA